AUUGAACGCUGGCGGCAGGCCUAACACAUGCAAGUCGAACGGUAACAGGAAGAAGCUUGCUUCUUUGCUGACGAGUGGCGGACGGGUGAGUAAUGUCUGGGAAACUGCCUGAUGGAGGGGGAUAACUACUGGAAACGGUAGCUAAUACCGCAUAACGUCGCAAGACCAAAGAGGGGGACCUUCGGGCCUCUUGCCAUCGGAUGUGCCCAGAUGGGAUUAGCUAGUAGGUGGGGUAACGGCUCACCUAGGCGACGAUCCCUAGCUGGUCUGAGAGGAUGACCAGCCACACUGGAACUGAGACACGGUCCAGACUCCUACGGAGGCAGCAGUGGGGAAUAUUGCACAAUGGGCGCAAGCCUGAUGCAGCCAUGCCGCGUGUAUGAAGAAGGCCUUCGGGUUGUAAAGUACUUUCAGCGGGGAGGAAGGGAGUAAAGUUAAUACCUUUGCUCAUUGACGUUACCCGCAGAAGAAGCACCGGCUAACUCCGU
This 488-nucleotide ribosomal RNA is filed under the name uncultured bacterium. RNAcentral's name for it is "partial 16S ribosomal RNA". It matches the Rfam family "Bacterial small subunit ribosomal RNA", at positions 30 to 506 of the family's 1533-position model. The record is from RNAcentral.